RNAcentral lists this ribosomal RNA (429 nucleotides) under Chloroflexota bacterium. Its description in RNAcentral is "Chloroflexi bacterium partial 16S ribosomal RNA". It matches the Rfam family "Bacterial small subunit ribosomal RNA", at positions 355 to 776 of the family's 1533-position model. The record is from RNAcentral. Lineage: Bacteria; Bacillati; Chloroflexota.
UGGGGAAUAUUGCACAAUGGGCGCAAGCCUGAUGCAGCCAUGCCGCGUGUGUGAAGAAGGCCUUCGGGUUGUAAAGCACUUUCAGCGGGGAGGAAGGCGAUAAGGUUAAUAACCUUGUCGAUUGACGUUACCCGCAGAAGAAGCACCGGCUAACUCCGUGCCAGCAGCCGCGGUAAUACGGAGGGUGCAAGCGUUAAUCGGAAUUACUGGGCGUAAAGCGCACGCAGGCGGUUGAUUGAGUCAGAUGUGAAAUCCCCGGGCUUAACCCGGGAAUUGCAUCUGAUACUGGCAAGCUUGAGUCUCGUAGAGGGGGGUAGAAUUCCAGGUGUAGCGGUGAAAUGCGUAGAGAUCUGGAGGAAUACCGGUGGCGAAGGCGGCCCCCUGGACGAAGACUGACGCUCAGGUGCGAAAGCGUGGGGAGCAAACAGG